UACAGAGGGUGCAAGCGUUAAUCGGAAUUACUGGGCGUAAAGCGCACGUAGGCGGCUUUGUAAGUUAGAGGUGAAAGCCCGGGGCUCAACUCCGGAACUGCCUUUAAGACUGCAUCGCUUGAAUCAUGGAGAGGUUAGUGGAAUUCCGAGUGUAGAGGUGAAAUUCGUAGAUAUUCGGAAGAACACCAGUGGCGAAGGCGACUAACUGGACAUGUAUUGACGCUGAGGUGCGAAAGCGUGGGGAGCAAACAGG
This 253-nucleotide ribosomal RNA is filed under the name uncultured bacterium. RNAcentral describes it as "partial 16S ribosomal RNA". It matches the Rfam family "Bacterial small subunit ribosomal RNA", at positions 524 to 776 of the family's 1533-position model. The record is from RNAcentral.